GGAGGCGUUCCCAGGCUGGUGCCUGGCGCGGUCUUCAACACCGUUGUGGCCCGGGACCCGGGUCAGGCGGGUUCGAUUCCCGUCCGCCUCCGCCA
This 95-nucleotide transfer RNA is filed under the name Vallicoccus soli. RNAcentral describes it as "Frankiales bacterium YIM 75000 tRNA-Sec". It matches the Rfam family "Selenocysteine transfer RNA". The record is from RNAcentral. Lineage: Bacteria; Bacillati; Actinomycetota; Actinomycetes; Motilibacterales; Vallicoccaceae.